This 429-nucleotide ribosomal RNA is filed under the name Gemmatimonadota bacterium. RNAcentral describes it as "Gemmatimonadetes bacterium partial 16S ribosomal RNA". It matches the Rfam family "Bacterial small subunit ribosomal RNA", at positions 355 to 776 of the family's 1533-position model. The record is from RNAcentral. Lineage: Bacteria; Pseudomonadati; Gemmatimonadota.
UAGGGAAUCUUCGGCAAUGGACGAAAGUCUGACCGAGCAACGCCGCGUGAGUGAAGAAGGUUUUCGGAUCGUAAAACUCUGUUGUUAGAGAAGAACAAGGACGUUAGUAACUGAACGUCCCCUGACGGUAUCUAACCAGAAAGCCACGGCUAACUACGUGCCAGCAGCCGCGGUAAUACGUAGGUGGCAAGCGUUGUCCGGAUUUAUUGGGCGUAAAGCGAGCGCAGGCGGUUUCUUAAGUCUGAUGUGAAAGCCCCCGGCUCAACCGGGGAGGGUCAUUGGAAACUGGGAGACUUGAGUGCAGAAGAGGAGAGUGGAAUUCCAUGUGUAGCGGUGAAAUGCGUAGAUAUAUGGAGGAACACCAGUGGAGAAGGCGGCUCUCUGGUCUGUAAAUGACGCUGAGGCUCGAAAGCGUGGGGAGCAAACAGG